CUAUUAUCAUCGGCCCUCAACCUUGCAUUAUUGCCUCCGCGGCGCAGAGCAUUGCUGCAGCCUGCAGAGUAGUAUAUAUCCUCACAGUUUCAGGUUCUAAGGAUCAAGAACGAGAAAGGACCAGAGCCGGAGAAGGAUUAGAGAAAGGAUACUAGCUCCACUUCGACAGGAUCGUGGAUGGGGCUGGGAGCCAGAAGAGAUCACUGCCAAGGGCAAGCUGAUUAGGCGAACUACAAUAGGGGAAAAGGAAAAAGGUUGGUAGAUUGGAUUCAUUAUAUUGGAAUUGGAUAAUUGCUGUAUAGAAUGUGUGGGAUAUGAUUUCUCACUACUGACUACAAAUCAAAUGCACGUUACUCAUGUUUUGAUGUUUUAGAUGUAUUUUCUAGAUGCACUCAAGUUUUAUUUGAUAAUUGAUAGUUGUGAGCUUCCAGGAUAUGAUCACAAGAAUUUUGAAGCACGCUCUUUUUCAUGCCAUAAAAAAUAGUAGAAUGAUUUUACCUCGGUCCCCUCGCUGCAAUUGGCUAUGUGGUGUGCUUAAUUAUUAUUUCAUGUUUACAAUUGUUUUUUAUCACUUAGUUAUGAUGUUUUCAUAACUCCAUGUCUGGUUUUCUUAUUUUUAUUUGUGCCGAGUGCCUCCUUGCAAUCAACCAAGUAGAGCCAUGUGCCAUUGAGGACAUGGCGCCAGGGAGGGGGGCAUCUAGCAGUUGGGGGCUUGAUUUUGCACUUGAUUGGAACGAUUUGGAGUGGAUUAUAGAAGGGAGGUGGAUGGAAAUGAGAAGAAGAGGAGGACGCGCUCCUGCUCAUGGCGGCCAGAGGCGUUGUGGCCUAGCGCUUGAAGUGGGAAUGAGGCUAGGCACGGGGAGGACGAGCGCUUGCCUGGGCGACGGCGAGGACGGUAAGAUGCACAACGUCUAGGUGACGGCGAGGAUGGGGCAAGAUGCGGGUGGCGCCGAUGGACGAAGAGGUAGCGACUGGCGCCGAUGGACGAAGAGGCACCUACUGGCUGGAUAAUGAUGAGAACUGGGGAAAUCGAAUGAAUGGAUAGAGCGGAGGUUAAGCAGUGAACUUUUUUUAUUUCCAUGUGUGGGUCCCACAUAAUAAACAGACGACAUCAAACUACCCACAAAUGUCUUCUACUACUAUACUUGCAAAGAGAGGACUACUAGGGACAACACACCAAUAUAUUAUGAAGCGAAACAAACAUAUUAGAAACAAGCGAAUAAUAACGUGAGAGCAAGGACGUGUAGCAACGCACGGGUAUUUCUGCUAGUUGAAUUCUAAAGAAAGGAAACGUGAGUUUCAAAUCACUUCCAUUGGGGUCUUUUAACCCCACCGUCACUUUGAAUUUCGUGGGCACUGCGCGCCUAGGAGGGCACCGCGCUUGGGAC
RNAcentral lists this long non-coding RNA (1388 nucleotides) under Setaria viridis. Its description in RNAcentral is "long non-coding RNA (SVIR_LNC009235)". Lineage: Eukaryota; Viridiplantae; Streptophyta; Magnoliopsida; Poales; Poaceae. The record is from RNAcentral.